AGACCGAUAAGAACGAUUAAUCGCGAUUAAUCAGACGAUCAGAAAACACUAGUUAGUAGUAAGUACUAGUAGUAUAUAAUUGGCAAUGAUCAACACCGCGUGGACUAGUGUCGAUCAGUAGUAGUGGUAACGUAGCCAGCAGCAUCCGUGAAUCCAUGCGUGACGCCGAUUACAGCCAAAAAAAACAUGUACGUAUUAAUAUACUCCUAUGAGCCGUUGAGCACUUGCCAACAAUACCUGGUAAUCAAGCUCUUUGAAGCAUUGAGAGCGCAAGCACGAGACAGGCUGGGUGUGUAACGGAAAGGGCCUCAUCAUCCCCUCCAUCCCGUGUUUCAAGGCGGAACAGGCUGAGAAUUAAUGCGCGAAACGGAUUAACGCGUCAGAUUGGGUGGACUACCCUAUGACAAAUCAAAUACUGCUCCUACUAUGUCGACGUACGACAACAAACAAAAAUGGAAGGAAAGUAAACCUGCAGUGUUCAACCCAAGCAGCAUUCCACAGCUAAUGAUCGUGUUGAGCUGGCCGGUCGGCGGAACUGAACCUGAUCGAGUAUUGGUAGCCUGAUUGAUUUUGGGAAAUUAUUAAUUGUAUCUCAAAUUUGGAGAGAGAAACUAGUUGAUUGAUUGAGGAAACUAAAGCAUAGAAGAGGGGUGGAUUCCCACUAAACGCGUGAGCAAGAGACUGGAUCGAUAUGGGUUGCCUGCACGUCGUCGCGUCGAUGCGCGCUCGCACUCCAGCUUUGUUUGUUUUCGCGGUGUACCACCGGUCCAGCAAAACCGUGCACAACGCAAGUAUCCAAUCGAUCCAGCGAGAAACCAGCUGAUGUGCACCCCAGACUAGUGCAGGAUAGACAUGCACCCCGAACAGUUGCAGCCUCUCCUUGUAAACCCA
This 891-nucleotide long non-coding RNA is filed under the name Sorghum bicolor (sorghum). RNAcentral's name for it is "long non-coding RNA (SBIC_LNC005484)". Lineage: Eukaryota; Viridiplantae; Streptophyta; Magnoliopsida; Poales; Poaceae. The record is from RNAcentral.